This 1372-nucleotide ribosomal RNA is filed under the name uncultured bacterium. RNAcentral describes it as "bacterial SSU rRNA". It matches the Rfam family "Bacterial small subunit ribosomal RNA", at positions 28 to 1381 of the family's 1533-position model. The record is from RNAcentral.
GAUGAACGCUGGCGGCGUGCCUAAUACAUGCAAGUCGAGCGAACGGACGAGAAGCUUGCUUCUCUGAUGUUAGCGGCGGACGGGUGAGUAACACGUGGAUAACCUACCUAUAAGACUGGGAUAACUUCGGGAAACCGGAGCUAAUACCGGAUAAUAUUUUGAACCGCAUGGUUCAAAAGUGAAAGACGGUCUUGCUGUCACUUAUAGAUGGAUCCGCGCUGCAUUAGCUAGUUGGUAAGGUAAUGGCUUACCAAGGCAACGAUGCAUAGCCGACCUGAGAGGGUGAUCGGCCACACUGGAACUGAGACACGGUCCAGACUCCUACGGGAGGCAGCAGUAGGGAAUCUUCCGCAAUGGGCGAAAGCCUGACGGAGCAACGCCGCGUGAGUGAUGAAGGUCUUCGGAUCGUAAAACUCUGUUAUUAGGGAAGAACAUAUGUGUAAGUAACUGUGCACAUCUUGACGGUACCUAAUCAGAAAGCCACGGCUAACUACGUGCCAGCAGCCGCGGUAAUACGUAGGUGGCAAGCGUUAUCCGGAAUUAUUGGGCGUAAAGCGCGCGUAGGCGGUUUUUUAAGUCUGAUGUGAAAGCCCACGGCUCAACCGUGGAGGGUCAUUGGAAACUGGAAAACUUGAGUGCAGAAGAGGAAAGUGGAAUUCCAUGUGUAGCGGUGAAAUGCGCAGAGAUAUGGAGGAACACCAGUGGCGAAGGCGACUUUCUGGUCUGUAACUGACGCUGAUGUGCGAAAGCGUGGGGAUCAAACAGGAUUAGAUACCCUGGUAGUCCACGCCGUAAACGAUGAGUGCUAAGUGUUAGGGGGUUUCCGCCCCUUAGUGCUGCAGCUAACGCAUUAAGCACUCCGCCUGGGGAGUACGACCGCAAGGUUGAAACUCAAAGGAAUUGACGGGGACCCGCACAAGCGGUGGAGCAUGUGGUUUAAUUCGAAGCAACGCGAAGAACCUUACCAAAUCUUGACAUCCUUUGACAACUCUAGAGAUAGAGCUUUCCCCUUCGGGGGACAAAGUGACAGGUGGUGCAUGGUUGUCGUCAGCUCGUGUCGUGAGAUGUUGGGUUAAGUCCCGCAACGAGCGCAACCCUUAAGCUUAGUUGCCAUCAUUAAGUUGGGCACUCUAAGUUGACUGCCGGUGACAAACCGGAGGAAGGUGGGGAUGACGUCAAAUCAUCAUGCCCCUUAUGAUUUGGGCUACACACGUGCUACAAUGGACAAUACAAAGGGCAGCGAAACCGCGAGGUCAAGCAAAUCCCAUAAAGUUGUUCUCAGUUCGGAUUGUAGUCUGCAACUCGACUACAUGAAGCUGGAAUCGCUAGUAAUCGUAGAUCAGCAUGCUACGGUGAAUACGUUCCCGGGUCU